UUGUCUUGAUGAGGAUCUGAGAAUCUGAAAGGAUUGAGAUGUGUUCGAGACCACUGGAGAGGGCAAAGGUCAUGGCUUUGAGGACAGCCAAGGUUUCCGCCAUGAGGGGCGAGGAGACGAAGGUCAUACUUGCUGCAUGUUGUGAUGUCGAAGCCAGAUCAUCAACGAUCCAACCAAAUCCUGCAUUACCUGUUGAAGAAUUCCAUGCUGCAUCUGUGGAGAUGGAGUAUAGAUCGGGCCUUCUAGGGUUUGGUUCGACCCUGAUCACAGGCUUCAGUUGAGAGGUAGUUGUUGUUGGUUGAGCCAUCACCCAUUCUCGGGCUUCAGAGAUCGCUCUCAAGAUCGUUUCUUCGGGAGAAGAGCUUCGCUUCUCGAAGAUGAGUUGAUUCCUUGAGCGCCAGAGAGACCAACAGAUCCAGGCUGCUAAAGAUCCCGCUUCAAUUCCUACUGGUGGCAGAGAAGGGGCAUUGGAAAAGAAGGUGGAGUAUUGAUUCUUCUGCGUUGCAUCUUGUACAGAGAGCAGAGACAGACAUUAGGUAACCAAUCAAAAGCUUCAGCUGGGGAUGUCGGAGUUCUAUCGAUCUUCUCCUCCUGAGGGUAGCCUGAUCGUGUUGAAUACUCUCCUGAGGGAUUUUUAAGCCAGACCAGCGUAUCAGUAGCUCUUUGUUUGCUGGGUUUUAGUCUCAGUAUUUGUUCUUUGUGGCAGGGAAGGUAGCGCUCUAUCUUUUCUACAUCCCAUUCCGAGUUAUCCGGUCGGAUCAAGUCAGAGACUUUGAGGUGUUGUAGACUUUCUGGAGCAGGGCCAAAAGGUAACGCUCUAUCUUUUUCUGUUAAUAAUUGUAUUUAAUACCGACGAAUUUACGUAUUAUCCAAGACUUUCUAUUACUACACUGUCAUCACUUCUGAAAACGUUUUAAAUAGUGAAAAUCUUUUUUUUAUGAGUUUUGGGAUUUAGUGGAGAUAGGAUGUCGCACAUCAAUAUAAAUAUAUUCAAAUAUAUAACAUUGCAAAUUUUCAAUUUCUAUAAAAUAGUUAUCCGACUAAUCAAGCUCACUAUAAGGUUAUGAUUGGCGACAACUGAUUCGCGGAUUUCAACGCGGUAUUCUGAAAACCGCACUCUGUUUACCAUUCACACUAUUUUGUUUUAAAAUGUGGUUUUAUGCAAACAAUAAAACAAAAAACGCACUUCAAAAAAUUGACAGAGAAUAGGCUUCUAAAAGCAAUAACGCUUCCCAAAAGUAGACCGCGGAUAUUAACCAGCGGUCCAGUGAAAUCCGCAUGGGUUAACAGUUUUUUUUUCCGAUUUUUAAAAUAAUAUUUUAAUACUAAAACUCUAUAUAAAUAUACCUGUUGGACAAUACUAUACCAUUCACUUUGCACCUAAAAACGUUUUUGAAUUCAACUCUUUCAAAUAAAUUGUUUUUUUUUCUUGAACUGACUCAAAUAAAUUGUUUUUCUCUAUGUUAAAAAGGUGAAAUUAGUUAUAAAAUUAUAACUAAUGCACUGAAUUUAAGUUAAACUGAUAAUAUGUUAAAAUUAUACUAAAUAAUGUUAUAUAGACUAAUACACAUACAAUUUAUUGUUAUACUGUCUAAUUAGUUAUCUUUUAGUAAGUUUAUAUAGUAGCUAUGCAUUCUAAAUAAUGCAGUCAAUAUUAUUGUAGUUUAUUGAAAAUCUAAGAGAAUUUGCGUUCUACACACAAGAAAGAUCACAUAAUUAGCUCUAUACACAUAUUUUGUUUUCAUAGGAAUUGUCGAUUAAUUUAUGACCAUUAUACCCCUAUUGCCUUCUAAUCUUCGAUUUUCAUGAUGCCCACAUAUUCUUCUAUUUUUCUGAUAAUCGAAUUAUACACGAAAUGUAUUUGUGUCAGACAACUUGAUAUAUUAUACAAUUCUGUCUUCUUUGUGUCAAUUAUCCAAUCCAAAUGGAUCCCUGCGGCAGUGUAACGCCGCCUCCAUCUUUUCCUCGUAGAUGUCAUCCGGUUUUGUUUUGAUGGUGCUUCUUCUCUUCAUCUUCUGAUUCGUUUGCGUUGUGCGGCAGACUUCUAGGAAAGCUUCGAGGGUUCUGGUGGCUCGUUGGUUGUAGGCGGAGGCUCUGCCUGAGGACGGUGGAGCGGACAACCGAUUCCGCAAGUCAGUCAUCGGGAUCCCUAAAGUUUGUCUCGAUUGUUGAGAGGUGCUCGUUUGACGGCAGAUCUAUCCAUGGAGAUGGCGGUUCUUCCGGUGACGAUUCCUUUCCGGCGUGGUUGCUUCUUGGCCGGUGUGUAAGAGGAGGAGCAUGUGAUUGUUUGGACUUGUGAGAAGGUGGAGACCCUUCACAAUCAACGGCAGAAGAGUUUGAGAGUAAGUGUUCUCUAUGGCUCUGGUGUUAUGUGGCCCAGGGACCCCUCUGGGAUGGCUUAGCUUUGAAGGUACAUCGGUGAAGGUUCUAUUGGCUGGCAUGGACACUCCGCUGUAGUGAUGUCUCGGAUACCAUUUUACGCUGGUCGUCGGUGUCUGUCGCAGGUGUAGGCUCCGCGUCCUUCGUCUUUCCCCACAUCUCCCCUAGUUCGCUUUAGAUAUUGUUGUUUAGGUGUGUUUCUUUUUUUUUCCAUGUAACCUAGCAAUUUCCGUUUCACCGGAGCUCCGGUCUGUUUAUGUUUUGAUUUCCCCAUAGGGGCUUGUUAUAUAUUUAUCUGUUACAAGUGGAGUUUUUUUUGUUUUUUUGAACUGAUUCUCUAUUACAAGUGGAAUUUACAAACCAAAACGACCAGACCCCUUGCUAAACUCUCCUUUUUAACAGUCCCGGUAAAAGAUUAAACAUACUGCUAUCAUCCAAGUUCGAUUACUAAAAUGUUUAGCCUUAACAAAAAGAAACUAUCAGACUAACACACCGAGUAACCGACCAACGAAGAUGCAAUCCUUCAACAGACACUUCAUUACACCAACAGUUACAAGUGAAUUUAGCAAACCAAAAUGACCGGACACAUUGCUAAAUUCCCGUUUUAACCCUCCCGAGAAAAGAUAAAAUAGAUACUACUAUCGUUCAAGGUCUGUUAGACUGUUACUAAAUUGUUUAGCAAUGUUGCAUCUUCAUUGGAAACCGAAAUUACAUGCCUUUUUACCGACGAGCCACCAAAGCUUGAAGCUUUCAUAGGGUCUUCCCUUUUAUGCAGCCGCUCCUAUCAGAUACCCCAAGCCUCUGAUUGGCCAAUACUUCUCAACUUAUCCCGUUCACGUAUCUGGGGGUUGACAAAUACUUAGGAAUCAUUACUACUAUAACCAAUAAAAACUAUUAUAGCUUCCACCCUAAAAUUGGCCUACCGUAAAAUACCUUUCUAUGCAAUCUAAGGACAGUAUCGUCAACGGUAGGAGCAUGUGAUUGUUUGGACUUGUGAGAAGGUGAAGACCCUUCGCAAUCAACGGCAGAAGAGUUUGAGAGUAAGUGUUCUUUAUGGCUCUGGUGUUAUGUGGCCCCGGGACCCCUCUGAGAUGGUUUAGCUUUGAAGGUACACCGGUGAAGGUUCUAUUGGCUGGCAUGGACACUCCGCUGUAGUGAUGUCUCGGAUACCAUUUUACCCUGGUCGUCGGUGUCUGUCGCAGGUGUAGGCUCUGCGUCCUUCGUCUUCUUCCCCACAUCUCCUCUAGUUCGCUUUAGAUAUUGUUGUUUAGGUGUGUUUCUUCUUUUUUUCCAUGUAACCUAGCAAUUUCCGUUUCACCGGAGCUCCGGUCUGUUUAUGUUCUGAUUUCUCCAUAGGGGCUUGUUAUAUAUUUAUCUGUUACAAGUGGAGUUUUUUUUAUUUUUUUGAACUGAUUCUCUGUUACAAGUGGAGUUAACAAACCAAAACGACCAGACCCCUUGCUAAACUCUCCUUUUUAACAGUCCCGGUAAAAGAUUAAACAUACUGCUAUCAUGCAAGUUCGAUUACUAAAAUGUUUAGCCUUAACAAAAAGAAACUAUCAGACUAACACACCGAGUAGCCGACCAACGAAGAUGCAAUCCUGCAACAGACACUUCAUUACACCAACAGUUACAAGUGAAUUUAGCAAACCAAAACGACUGGACACAUAGCUAAACUCCCGUUUUAACCGUCCGGAGAAAAGAUAAAAUAGAUACUACUAUCGUUCAAGGUCUGUUAAGACUGUUACAAAAUUGUUUAGCUUUCACAAAAACAAACCGACUGGCUAACUCAACAAGUAACCGACCAAUGAAGAUGCAACAUUGCAAACAAACACUUUAUUACUAGAAAAAAGACUUUCACACAGAGAAGCUACCAGCUUUUCACUCCCCAUCAACACAUUUCAGCAUCCACCCUCUGUGAUGCUCCCUUCAAAGGAUGUCUCUUUUUCCCUCUCACAACCAUUGCUUGUCCCCACUCCUUUCGGUUUACUAGUCAAAGCUAGCUUCAUCAUUUGUUGCCAACUGUUAGCAUCCGAGUUUGGAUCUCGUGCUUUUGUGUUGUUCCUCUCAGCUAAUUCCAAAGGGCCUGAAGCCAAUUUUUCACCACCACUUCUCUUUUAUUAUUGAUAGCUAAUAUUAUGUUUAGCUUAAGUCUUGAAGGUUUUCUCCGGAUAAUAAUAUUUUAAAAAAAACAUUCUCCAUAAUUUCAUAGAGCACUUUUCUCUUAUUUAAUUACACAGCUAAUUUUCAUUUGUUGUAAUCUACAAAAGGCUUGUUUACUCAAUAACUAAAACAUUAUACGAAGAAGGGAUUUUAUUUAAAUAUAACAUAUCGAUACGUAUUGUACUCCUUACAUCCCAAAGUUGGAUUACACUACAAACAGAGCAUACUAAAAAAUGCUAAAACAACCUUUCAUAUAUUUUACAUGCUA
This is a long non-coding RNA of Brassica napus (rape), 4810 nucleotides long. RefSeq lists it as uncharacterized. NCBI's taxonomy places the organism in Eukaryota, Viridiplantae, Streptophyta, Magnoliopsida, Brassicales, Brassicaceae. The transcript has 3 exons. The record is from RefSeq and is a predicted model, not a curated record.